GAUGAACGCUGGCGGCGUGCCUAAUACAUGCAAGUCGAGCGAACAGACGAGGAGCUUGCUCCUCUGACGUUAGCGACGGACGGGUGAGUAACACGUGGAUAACCUACCUAUAAGACUGGGAUAACUUCGGGAAACCGGAGCUAAUACCGGAUAAUAUAUUGAACCGCAUGGUUCAAUAGUGAAAGACGGUUUUGCUGUCACUUAUAGAUGGAUCCGCGCCGCAUUAGCUAGUUGGUAAGGUAACGGCUUACCAAGGCAACGAUGCGUAGCCGACCUGAGAGGGUGAUCGGCCACACUGGAACUGAGACACGGUCCAGACUCCUACGGGAGGCAGCAGUAGGGAAUCUUCCGCAAUGGGCGAAAGCCUGACGGAGCAACGCCGCGUGAGUGAUGAAGGUCUUCGGAUCGUAAACCUCUGUUAUUAGGGAAGAACAAAUGUGUAAGUAACUAUGCACGUCUUGACGGUACCUAAUCAGAAAGCAACGGCUAACUACGUG
This 497-nucleotide ribosomal RNA is filed under the name uncultured bacterium. RNAcentral's name for it is "partial 16S ribosomal RNA". It matches the Rfam family "Bacterial small subunit ribosomal RNA", at positions 28 to 507 of the family's 1533-position model. The record is from RNAcentral.